AAGGGUAUAGCUCAAGUGGUAGAGCGCAUGUUUAGCAUGCAUGAGGUCCUGGGCUCAAUCCCCAGUACCUCCU
This 73-nucleotide transfer RNA is filed under the name Camelus bactrianus (Bactrian camel). It matches the Rfam family "tRNA". Rfam says of the family: Transfer RNA (tRNA) molecules are approximately 80 nucleotides in length. Their secondary structure includes four short double-helical elements and three loops (D, anti-codon, and T loops). The record is from Rfam by way of RNAcentral. Lineage: Eukaryota; Metazoa; Chordata; Mammalia; Artiodactyla; Camelidae. RNAcentral also lists the same sequence under 1 other name.